This 433-nucleotide ribosomal RNA is filed under the name uncultured bacterium. Its description in RNAcentral is "partial 16S ribosomal RNA". It matches the Rfam family "Bacterial small subunit ribosomal RNA", at positions 29 to 507 of the family's 1533-position model. The record is from RNAcentral.
AGCGAACGCUGGCGGCAGGCCUAACACAUGCAAGUCGAACGAACCUUUCGGGGUUAGUGGCGGACGGGUGAGUAACACGUGGGAACGUGCCUUUAGGUUCGGAAUAACUCAGGGAAACUUGUGCUAAUACCGAAUGUGCCCUUCGGGGGAAAGAUUUAUCGCCUUUAGAGCGGCCCGCGUCUGAUUAGCUAGUUGGUUGAGGUAAUGGCUCACCAAGGCGACGAUCAGUAGCUGGUCUGAGAGGAUGAUCAGCCACAUUGGGACUGAGACACGGCCCAAACUCCUACGGGAGGCAGCAGUGGGGAAUCUUGCACAAUGGGCGAAAGCCUGACGCAGCCAUGCCGCGUGAAUGAUGAAGGUCUAGGAUUGUAAAAUUCUUUCACCGGGGACGAUAAUGACGGUACCCGGAGAAGAAGCCCCGGCUAACUUCGUG